This is a transfer RNA of Camelus ferus (Wild Bactrian camel), 71 nucleotides long. It matches the Rfam family "tRNA". From Rfam's summary of the family: Transfer RNA (tRNA) molecules are approximately 80 nucleotides in length. The record is from Rfam. NCBI's taxonomy places the organism in Eukaryota, Metazoa, Chordata, Mammalia, Artiodactyla, Camelidae.
GGGAGUAUAACUCAGUGGUAGAGCAUGUGCUUGGUGUGCAUGAGGUCCUGGGUUCAAUCCCAGUGCCUCCG